AUUCUAUGUUCUUUUCCCUUCAGGUAUUUGCUCUAUCAGCCUUACUAAUGGACUUCCCAAAGCAGACGUAACAACCACGCCAAAGACAAGGAAAGGAGACACCCCUGUGCCCAGUAACCUUCUCCUGACGCUGUGAGCCCGAGCCCCUUGGGGACCUCCUUCGCUGUCUCUCCUUCAUACCCACCGAUCCAGCAUAUGCUCUUGUCCCCUCAAUCUGCAAGAUUGUGCUCAUCUUCUUUCAACAAACCCUCUGGUGGCCUCCAGGUCCUGAUCUUGGCCCUCCUGAUAGUGUCUGCACUUGCCCCAGAUCAUCUUGUGUUCAUCAUGUCUUCCAUCCCAGAGACUCAACACUGUAACCCUACUACACACCUACGUUGACCACAUAUACUACAAGCCAGCCCCACUUGAAUUCUCCCAAUUCAACAUGUUCAAAGUGGUCUCACCCUCGCCCUUAUACAUCUGCCAUCUGCUCUGCCUCUUGUACUUUUCUGCGUUAGUGAGGGCCGUCAUCAUCCUCCCUGGGCACCCAAACCAGAAGAAGAAGCCUCAUUGCUCAAUACCUGCUGGAAUUGUCCUGCCACAACAUCUUAGGGAGUCUCCCUGGCCUCCAUCAUCUUCCUUCCUAUUCAUCUGGUUGCUCUAUCCCACUGUCUCCAGUUAUUUUGUUUCUUGUCAUUUCUAAUGAACUCUUAUGCCUGAUACUCCUCCCCGUGGAACAAAGCCAAGCGUUCAAGAAAUGUAAUUUACUUCAGCCUUUAUAACUAAACAAUUUCAAUCAGUGUCAAUUGCAGGUAGCCUCAGUUAUUUCAGCCUCGCCUGAAAUAACUGCCCCUGCCUCCCCUCUCCCAACUUCCCAUGGGAAAAUAAAGACGUGCAGAAGACAGUGUGUACUCUGGGGAGCAUUGGGAGUAUGUGAUCUCUCCCUAUGCCAGACAGGAUGUGGAAAAAUGCUAUCCUUGAUGCUAUCCUACCCGUCUACACAUGCAGCCAUCUCUACUUCUCCCACUCCACACAUGUUAAAUAGAGGGAAAAUCUACGUGGCUUAUCCCCUCUCUGGGCUCUAUCCUGAAAGCAAGCCAUAGUGUGUUGUGCUCCAAGGCCGCUCCUGUCUCUCCAGGGGUACAGUCAUGUAUCCAUCCCACCUUGAGGACUUAGCUUGGGACAGGACGGGGUGGAAAUUGUCAUAUCUGAGAGUCAGAGAACACAGCAUGUGUGAUGUCCUUCUAGACACACCCAACAUCCAGUAGUCCCCUUCCUACACUUUUUCUCCCCUAGCCCAAAUAUUCUUAACUAAAUCUGUGCCAAAAGACUAUUUUGGUUGCCAUUCAUUGAUCUAAAUCUAAUGUUUUAAAUAAACUUGAUGUCCUGGGAUAUUCUGGGCUUAAACUUUUGAGACUCAAGAGCCUUCAGAGUUUAAAAAGCCUUAUUUCAGCUGUAUCAUUCAUCCCCUGAGACAACGGACACCACUCACAAUGAAGGAAAAGCAGUAUGUCAAAGGAAGGAGGGAAGCAAGGGAAAAAAACCCCACUAACAUUUCCUGGCACAGGAUUUCAUUCCUGGGUGUUAGGUUCUGCAUCCCUAGGACCUCUAGCUCUUUGCUCAGGGACCAGGUCUGUUAUCUCAAGUUCCCCUUGACUGGGAAAGUUCCAGGAAGGGUACCCCUAACUCUGCCUCUCCUUCACUCAGUCUCUUCCUCCUUCACCUCAUUUCUCAAAUUGCCUUCUUACCUUCAUUCCAGUGGUUAGAUUCAUUCAUACCUUCAUUCCAGUCUUAGAUUAGCUAAUUCACCAAGGAAGAUUCCUAACUUCUUCCAUUUUGCCCCCAACUUCCUAUCCUGCAUGAUGACCAAACUGGAAUUUCCAACCACAAAUCUCAUUAAGACCCUUUCUUGCCUGAACCCACCAGUUGUCUCAUCACCUUCAGGACAGUUUGGGGGAACUCCUCAGGGCAACACAGAAGGCCAGAUAGACAGUGGCCCAAUGUGGACCUCGCCUCCAGCGCACUUUACCUGAGGCAAAUGGCUGUUCUCAGCAGGGUCUCUAACUGUGUCCUCUCUACAUUUCUUACAUUUCAUUCCUCUUCUUGAUAAGUGUGAUCCCCUCCCCACCACCACCCGCCUUAACACCUCACCUCCCCCACUUCCUUCAGAACACAGACGGGAAGUCACUAAUAGCAAUCAAAUGAUGUUUUUGAUAAGCAACCUUCCAGAGGAAAUUUGUUUUAGUCUAUCAAAAAGUGGCAGAAUAAUCAUUGUUUCUUUGGAUUUUGUUUCAUUCCCAGUUCUUCUCCCUUUACUUAGCUUAAAGAUGGCCACAUUUCUUAUGGCUUUCUAGAAGGGAUGACACCCCCUAUGUUUGGCUUUUAAGCCAUGCAUACUCAGGUCCUGAAGAGACUCUAAGCGGAUCCCUGAUUUGAGGAAAGGGAGCAACACAGCGAGCAUGAUGGUGAGCCCUUAGUGCUCUACCCUCGGAUAGGUUCGGAAACUCUAAAAUCAGGACUGUGCCUUCCCUUGUGAACCCGGGGGGUCAAGCAUCAGGCCCUAAGAUUCCU
This is a long non-coding RNA of Canis lupus familiaris (dog), 2550 nucleotides long. RefSeq lists it as uncharacterized. The record is from RefSeq and is a predicted model, not a curated record. Lineage: Eukaryota; Metazoa; Chordata; Mammalia; Carnivora; Canidae. The transcript has 3 exons.